This 330-nucleotide ribosomal RNA is filed under the name uncultured eukaryote. RNAcentral's name for it is "partial 18S ribosomal RNA". It matches the Rfam family "Eukaryotic small subunit ribosomal RNA", at positions 1470 to 1796 of the family's 1831-position model. The record is from RNAcentral.
CCCUUAGAUGUCCGGGGCUGCACGCGCGCUACACUGUAGCAAGCAGCGUGCUUUAAAACCUUUCCUGAAAAGGAUGGGUAACCCCAGCAAAAUUCUACGUGCUUGGGAUAGAGAUUUGCAAUUUUCUCUCUUGAACGAGGAAUUCCCAGUAAGUGCGAGUCAUCAGCUCGCGUUGAUUACGUCCCUGCCCUUUGUACACACCGCCCGUCGCUACUACCGAUUGGGAAAAUUUUAGAGAGUCCAGGACUGAUGAUUGUUCGGCUUCACGGCCUUACUUUCGUCGGGAAAGAAUUCGAUAAUAUUUUUCUAGAGGAAGUAAAAGUCGUAACA